RNAcentral lists this long non-coding RNA (1462 nucleotides) under Crocodylus porosus (Australian saltwater crocodile). RNAcentral's name for it is "lncRNA (ENSCPRG00005010927.1)". The record is from RNAcentral. Lineage: Eukaryota; Metazoa; Chordata; Crocodylia; Crocodylidae.
CUCCCCUCAAGCUAAUGCACCGAGCCAAGCCACUUUGUGUCCGACUGCAGGGGCACCCGUACUGGAAUGUCUCUCAUCUUGUUAUUAUGGUCCAAUGCAAUGACUCUUUCCACUUGCCAAUUCUCCCACUUCUCUGUGGAAUACAGUACAAGUUAUGUCUCAUCACCCAUCCCUUCCUCAGUGAGGAACACCACCUCACCUCCACCUGAGCUUGCCAGCUGGGUCAGAAAGGACGAAUCAGUUCCCCCAGUCAGAACCCUGCGUCUCUCUGGGACCCAGAGACAGAAGAAAGGAGAAUCAAAAGCAGACUGGGCAGCUGCUGAAUAUGUGACAGGCAGCUAUCCAUCACUUGGACAUCAACAUCAGGCAGCAGUAUCUCCAGAGCCAGCUGGGGGUUCCCACCUUCUACAUAGAGUCACUCACCCAGGUGAUCCCUCAGGUCCCUCCCCUGCAUCUCUGUGAUAGCAUAACUAGGGGAGGGUGACUGGGGCAGCAGGCCUGGGUGCCACCUUUGUUGAGAGCUGCAAAAAUAGCCACAGCCAUAGUGACAUCUGAUUGUACCCCUGCAAUCGGCAAUGCAUCAGUCAGCUCUGCCCCGGACAUCUCACAGUUGCCAGGGGCACAGAGCUGUCCACUUUUACCUCCAUGUUCAUGUUUCAGAGAUACCUUCCUAAAGGUCAGCAUGCUUCCAGAGGCACAGCCCCCCAUUUCUGAGAUGCUGUCACCAGGUAAGGAAAAUAAUGUACCAGCUUGAAAUAGACACAGAUGAGCCCAAACCUGGCCUUCUGGAAAAGGCAGCACAACCACUUGCAUCAGACAUCAGCUGCUCGCAUACACAGGGGAGCCAGGACUUCUGUGUCAACUUCAGCUGGCAUAUCCAGAGGAAUAAGGUCCAGCAGGAAUGGGACUUUCUGGACAUACUGUGGGAAUGACUGCAAGCUUUCCUACCUUUGGCUCCAAAGCUGUCCAUGUGGAGCUCAGACCAUAACAAAGAGAUGGUUACUGCCCCCGGAGGAGUAAUGACAUGGCCAGGCACCCAGGGCAGCAACCACACAGAAGGGGAAAAGCAUGUUCCAAUUACCGCCUCCACCAUGCCUGCAUGGCUUCAGCAGCUGCCAUUAUUUUCUACCUUCUCCUAAGUUGAUGCUUGAGGCAGCGACCCUGGGCACCCUGCCCUACUUGUGCCACUGACUAUGUGGGAGGAACUGCUUUUCCUGAGAAUGCACCUUGUUUUAAAUCUGCAAGUAAAGCAGAGAUGGGGCUUGCCCAGGUGGAGCCUAAGGAUGUUUAUACUUCCUGCCCUGGGGAUUGAAGUGCUCUAUGCAAGUGGUUCCCUACCCCUCACCACUUCUGCCACAUACUGAAGAGGCUCAGUCUAUACAUCUCUUUUUAAAGGUCCCUGGCGAUGGCUGACCAGAGAUUCCAGAUCCCUCACUCCUUGAAGCUGGGCGGGAAAUAGGCA